Molecule: long non-coding RNA, 1832 nt
Organism: Ictalurus punctatus (channel catfish)
Lineage: Eukaryota; Metazoa; Chordata; Actinopteri; Siluriformes; Ictaluridae
Source: Ensembl
ACUGUGUUUACUCAAGUUGCCUUUGUUUUAUAUUGUAUUUCAUUUAAAGGUCUAAAACUAUUUAGUAUGAGUGUUACGCCACGGCCAGCAGAUGGCACUGCGGCACGGCUUCUGACUGGUCACGUGACUCUCUUGUUUUCAUUUGCUUCCUGCUUGGACAUUGAUUUAAGUCUGAUCAUGUCUCUGAUUUGCCCCAGGUGUCCAUGUUUUGGUUUGAUUAUGUUGACUAUUUAAAACCCUCCGUGACUGCGCAUUUCGUGUAGUAUUAUUUGGUUUACAUUUGUCAUGUCGAGGAAGUAUGACGGUUACCCAUGCCAUGGGCACUGACACACCCCCAUUCCAUGACAGAUGCUGGCUUUUGGACCUGACGCUGAUAACAGCUUGGAUGGUCCUUUUGGCCCGGAGAACACAACGGCUGUUUUGUCCAAAAACUAUUUUAAAAUGUUGACUUGUCGGACCACAAAACACAAUUCCACUGUGCUACUGUCCAUCUCAGAUGAGACUGAGCUCAGAGAAGUUGGUGGCGCUUCUGGACAGUGUUGUUGUGUGGCUUCUGCUUUGCAUCGUAAAGCCUCGCAUCUGUGGCUGCAGCGACAAAUGGAGUUGAUAGACAAAGCCAAUGGACAAUGGAGUAUUCCCGAGCCUGAGCCAAUAUCCAUUACAGACUCGGUUUUUAACCAUUUUUUAAGACAGUGACAUCUGAGGGAUCUGAGAUCACGCACAUUCAGAAGUGGCUUUCAGCCUUGCCCUUUAUGCACCAAGAUUUGACUGGAUUCCUUGAAUCUUUUAAUUAUAAAGUGCAUUGUAGAAGAUGAAAUGCCCAAAAUCCUACCGAUUUGUCUUUGGAAUGUUGUUCUCAAAGUGUUGGAUUAUUCGCUGAUGCAUCUGUUGGCAGAUUGGCGAGUCUCAACCCAUCCUACCUCUUGAAGGACUAGGCCUGUUUUGGAGGUGCCUUAUAUACUAUGAUUAGAUGAUUGCCUCAUCUGUUUAACAUCACCUUCUUAUUUCAACUUGUCACAUAACUAUUAGUUCUAAAUUGCCCCGUCCCUACUUUUUUGGAAUGUGUUCCAUGCAUCAAUUUCAAAAUAAACAUUUAUCUUCAAAAAACUAUACAAUUAGGUAAAACAUAAAAAUACCUUGUCUUUUUAUUUUGUUGAAAUUUUGUUGAAAAGUACUCAAUAGUACUUGCACUUUUACUAUGUCAAAGUACAUUUACAAAUCGCUCCCCUUUGUUUCUAUUAGCAUUUUCCAUACUGUCCCAACUAUAUCAGAUUUCUGUUUCGGAGAUAUAAAACAGUAACUGAUAUAAUGUUCAAUAUGCUGAUUUUUCUCUUAAUGAGCAGAACACAAAAAUAUAUUAACUGAAAGAAAACACAGUAGCAUCCACACAGGGCAGAUAAAAUGGCUCAUUACUGAAGCCUAUUCAUGAUCUAGAAACUGUUUUGUAGCUAAAAAAAAAAAAAAUCAGAAUCAUAAGAUAAUAAGUCAAUCAUGUUUAACAUAAAUGAUGAGUCAGGUGAUAUUGAAAUUGCAUACUUAUUACAAAUUCAGACAGCUGGGUAUUAACACACAACUGCAACAUCAUAAAGCCUAAUUUGAUACUUAAUGAUAUAUAAAACAUGAAAUAUAUUGUAGACUGAUACAGUAACAUCUUUCUCACCAUUGUAGACGAUGCAGCAUGUAUGGACCCAUUCCUCUAGUGAUCAUUCUGCCUCAUGCAGUCUGAAAUAAUGCAGGACUAUGAGCUCUGGGGCAGCUCUUAUCUGCACAUGCAUCUAUCCUAACCUUCAUUACGUGGAAUACGUGACAGAAUAUUUCGCGUCAACAAGGAA